UGAAUACGAGAUGCUACGGCGUCGAAGCAGUCUAUGUCAUACUUCCAAGAAAAGCUUGCACUGUCAUAAACAAAUAAUGCCUGUACCAUAACCGACACAGGUGGGUAGGUAGAGUAUACUAAGGGGCGCGAGAUAACUCUCUCUAAGGAACUCGGCAAAAUGACUCCGUAACUUCGGGAGAAGGAGUGCCUUAUUUAUAAGGUUGCAAUAACAAGAUCCAAGCAACUGUUUACCAAAAACACAGGUCUCCGCUAAGUCGUAAGACGAUGUAUGGGGGCUGACGCCUGCCCAGUGCCAGAAGGUUAAAGAAGUUUGUUAGCAUCCGCGAAGCUGAUAACUGAAGCCCUGGUGAACGGCGGCCGUAACGAUAACGGUCCUAAGGUAGCGAAAUUCCUUGUCGGGUAAGUUCCGACCCGCACGAAAGGCGUAAUGAUUUGGAUACUGUCUCGGAGAGGGGCUCGGUGAAAUAGACUUGUCUGUGAAGAUGCGGACUACCUGCACCAGGACAGAAAGACCCUAUGAAGCUUUACUGUAACCUGAAAUUGAAAUUGGACUUUACUUGCGCAGUAUAGGUGGGAGGCGUUGAGAAUAUUCUUGCGGGAUUAUUGGAGCCAUCAGUGAGAUACCACUCUUGUAAUGUUAGAUUUCUAACUUUGUAUCAUUAUCUGGUCAAAGAACAGUUUCAGGCGGGCAGUUUGACUGGGGCGGUCGCCUCCUAAACGGUAACGGAGGCGCACAAAGGUUUCCUCUGAACGGGUAGAAAUCGUAUCUAGAGUGUAAAGGCAUAAGGAAGCUUGACUGUGAGACCUACAAGUCGAGCAGGGACGAAAGUCGGUCUUAGUGAUCUGACGGUGCUGAGUGGAAAGGCCGUCACUCAACGGAUAAAAGUUACUCUAAGGAUAACAGGCUGAUCUCCCCCAAGAGUUCACAUCGACGGGGAGGUUUGGCACCUCGAUGUCGGCUCAUCGCAUCCUGGGGCGGUAGUACGUCCCAAGGGUUGGGCUGUUCGCCCAUGAAAGCGGUACGCGAGCUGGGUUCAGAACGUCGUGAGACAGUUCGGUCCAUAUCCGGUGUAGGCGUUAGAAUAUUGAGAGGAGCCUUCUUUAGUACGAGAGGACCGAGAAGGACAUACCUCUGGUGUACCAGUUAUCGUGCCAACGGUAAACGCUGGGUAGCUAUGUGUGGAGUGGAUAACCGCUGAAAGCAUCUAAGUGGGAAGCCCACCUCAAGAUAAG
This 1235-nucleotide ribosomal RNA is filed under the name metagenome. RNAcentral's name for it is "bacterial LSU rRNA". It matches the Rfam family "Bacterial large subunit ribosomal RNA", at positions 1564 to 2808 of the family's 2925-position model. The record is from RNAcentral.